Crenichthys baileyi (White River springfish) is the source of this 85-nucleotide non-coding RNA. Lineage: Eukaryota; Metazoa; Chordata; Actinopteri; Cyprinodontiformes; Goodeidae. The record is from the annotation of a GenBank genome assembly.
CCGCACGGUGGCGCAGUUGGUAGCACUGUUGCCUUGCAGCAAGAAGGUCCUGAGAAGGUCCUGGGUUCGAUUCCCGGCCGGGGGU